Molecule: ribosomal RNA, 699 nt
Filed under: Streptomyces cinnamocastaneus
Lineage: Bacteria; Bacillati; Actinomycetota; Actinomycetes; Kitasatosporales; Streptomycetaceae
Description: bacterial SSU rRNA
Rfam family: Bacterial small subunit ribosomal RNA
Source: RNAcentral
UGCAAGUCGAACGAUGAACCACUUCGGUGGGGAUUAGUGGCGAACGGGUGAGUAACACGUGGGCAAUCUGCCCUUCACUCUGGGACAAGCCCUGGAAACGGGGUCUAAUACCGGAUACGACCUGCCGAGGCAUCUCGGUGGGUGGAAAGCUCCGGCGGUGAAGGAUGAGCCCGCGGCCUAUCAGCUUGUUGGUGAGGUAACGGCUCACCAAGGCGACGACGGGUAGCCGGCCUGAGAGGGCGACCGGCCACACUGGGACUGAGACACGGCCCAGACUCCUACGGGAGGCAGCAGUGGGGAAUAUUGCACAAUGGGCGAAAGCCUGAUGCAGCGACGCCGCGUGAGGGAUGACGGCCUUCGGGUUGUAAACCUCUUUCAGCAGGGAAGAAGCGAAAGUGACGGUACCUGCAGAAGAAGCGCCGGCUAACUACGUGCCAGCAGCCGCGGUAAUACGUAGGGCGCAAGCGUUGUCCGGAAUUAUUGGGCGUAAAGAGCUCGUAGGCGGCUUGUCACGUCGGUUGUGAAAGCCCGGGGCUUAACCCCGGGUCUGCAGUCGAUACGGGCAGGCUAGAGUUCGGUAGGGGAGAUCGGAAUUCCUGGUGUAGCGGUGAAAUGCGCAGAUUUCAGGAGGAACACCGGUGGCGAAGGCGGAUCUCUGGGCCGAUACUGACGCUGAGGAGCGAAAGCGUGGGGAGCGAA